CCGCGCUAGCUGGGGAGUUAGCGGCGCCCUGUACCUGCAAUCCGCUACAGCAGGAGUGAAUUCCCGUCCCCGGAUCCUGCGGUGUGCCGUCCGCCCUGUGUGCGGGAGUGAUGAGGACCCGGUCUCGCGCAAUCGGAACCCGUGAACCAUGUCAGGCGGGGAACCGAGCAGCAUUAAGCGGUGCUAUCCGGUGUGCCGCGAGGGUGCCGUGUCCGAGUUUCCCACACAGGAAGCGGGUAUACCGCAGAUUCAAAGACGGGUGCGCGG
RNAcentral lists this signal recognition particle RNA (267 nucleotides) under Oscillospiraceae bacterium OttesenSCG-928-G22. RNAcentral's name for it is "signal recognition particle sRNA large type". It matches the Rfam family "Bacterial large signal recognition particle RNA". From Rfam's summary of the family: The signal recognition particle (SRP) is a universally conserved ribonucleoprotein involved in the co-translational targeting of proteins to membranes. The record is from RNAcentral. Lineage: Bacteria; Bacillati; Bacillota; Clostridia; Eubacteriales; Oscillospiraceae.